Molecule: microRNA precursor, 197 nt
Filed under: Oryza brachyantha (malo sina)
Lineage: Eukaryota; Viridiplantae; Streptophyta; Magnoliopsida; Poales; Poaceae
Description: MIR812 microRNA precursor family
Rfam family: MIR812 microRNA precursor family
Source: Rfam by way of RNAcentral
AAUAAGAUCAUUUUCCAGUUCUUUUCCUACAAUGUUUUGACUUUUCGUCUUAUUUAAAUUUUUUUUGCGAUUAAUACUUUUAUUUUUACUAGAUGAUAAAACAUGAAUAGUACUCUAUGCGUGACUAAUUUCUUUAAUUUUUUGUACAAUUUUUUUCAAAUAAGACGAAUGGUCAGUUGGACACGGAAAAACGGAAA